This 253-nucleotide ribosomal RNA is filed under the name uncultured bacterium. RNAcentral's name for it is "partial 16S ribosomal RNA". It matches the Rfam family "Bacterial small subunit ribosomal RNA", at positions 524 to 776 of the family's 1533-position model. The record is from RNAcentral.
UACGGAGGUGGCUAGCGUUACUCGGAAUUAUUGGGUGUAAAGGGCAAGUAGGUGGCUUGGUAAGUGAGAGGUGAAAUACUCCGGCUCAAUCGGAGAACUGCCUUUCAUACUGCCUUGCUUGAGGAUGACAGGGGGAAAUGGAAUUCCAGGUGUAAGGGUGAAAUCUGUAGAUAUCUGGAAGAACACCAGCGGCGAAGGCGAUUUCCUGGGUCACUCCUGACACUGAAUUGCGAAAGCUAGGGGAGCAAACAGG